AGCAUAGGAAUUCCUCGGUCACGGGACGCUCCGGGAAUCCACCUCCCCGGAGCGUCGUGAUUGGAUUAUUCGGCAAACUGCGUCAGCCAGUGGCGCGGCUUGUUGUCC
Molecule: small RNA, 108 nt
Filed under: Sinorhizobium meliloti 2011
Lineage: Bacteria; Pseudomonadati; Pseudomonadota; Alphaproteobacteria; Hyphomicrobiales; Rhizobiaceae
Description: putative ncRNA
Source: RNAcentral